ACACUGUUUCCUCCUCCUGUUCGCCCCUUCUACGAUUUCCUCCGACCCAGCGCCGCGACGGCACUUCGCAACCGAGCUCACGGCGUUGCGGAGCUCAGCGAAGCCUCGUCGAAGCCUCCAGUCCUCUACUCUGGUUCUCUACCCUUUCCUCUCUUCAGUUAGCUGCCUCGUGCGAGGACCGUCGGGCACGAGGAGCCGAGCUGAAGAUCGGAGACACUGAGGUCGAAUCGCCGGAACCCUGAGCUCGAUCUUAGCUGAGGGUGCGUUCCCAACAGUGGUCACGACGUUCCCUAGCCCUAACGCCAAGCUGAUUUCGUCGGGUUUCGCCUCGCCGCUAGUGGGGGAAGCUGUCACUGAGGUAUUGGAGGUUUGUUGUGGCAGCGGCUUGCUGUGAGGGCUCGAUCACAAUUCCAACAGCUGUUCUUCACUCCAAAAACAGUAGUGGCUUGUUGGGAAGGGCUCGAUCACAAUUCCAGCAGCUGGUUUUCCUCCGGGAAUCCUUGGAGUUCAGAUCUGUGGAUCUACAAUGUUGGGCAGCAUCCGUGUACCAGUGCCGGCGAUUUCACCUUCCGACAGCAAGUUAUCAGUGGGGAGAUUUCUGUAAGGACUCUGAUCGAGGUGGGUGUCGUGACGAGGUUGACGUCGGAUUCAGCCUUCAUCUGAGG
Molecule: long non-coding RNA, 665 nt
Organism: Zingiber officinale
Lineage: Eukaryota; Viridiplantae; Streptophyta; Magnoliopsida; Zingiberales; Zingiberaceae
Exons: 5
Source: RefSeq, a predicted model, not a curated record